ACGUAGGUGGCAAGCGUUGUCCGGAUUUAUUGGGUUUAAAGGGUGCGUAGGCGGUUUUAUAAGUCAGUGGUGAAAUACAACAGCUUAACUGUUGAGGUGCCAUUGAUACUGUAAGACUUGAGUACAGACGAGGUAGGCGGAAUUGACGGUGUAGCGGUGAAAUGCUUAGAUAUCGUCAAGAACACCGAUAGCGAAGGCAGCUUACUAGACUGUAACUGACGCUGAGGCACGAAAGUGUGGGGAUCAAACAGGAUUAGAUACCCUGGUAGUCCACACUGUAAACGAUGAUUACUCGAUGUUGGCGAUACACAGCCAGCGUCUUAGCGAAAGCGAUAAGUAAUCCACCUGGGGAGUACGCCCGCAAGGGUG
RNAcentral lists this ribosomal RNA (369 nucleotides) under uncultured bacterium. RNAcentral describes it as "bacterial SSU rRNA". It matches the Rfam family "Bacterial small subunit ribosomal RNA", at positions 525 to 896 of the family's 1533-position model. The record is from RNAcentral.